This 1612-nucleotide long non-coding RNA is filed under the name Canis lupus familiaris (dog). RNAcentral's name for it is "lncRNA (ENSCAFG00040018315.1)". Lineage: Eukaryota; Metazoa; Chordata; Mammalia; Carnivora; Canidae. The record is from RNAcentral.
AUGACUUCUGGCAUGAGCAAGACAGCUGGAGAGUGUACUUGGUGGGCCAUGCUCGCUUCAGAAAGGCAGUGGGAAAAUAUCUUGUCUGCGUGUGCCCACAGGCUUUGGCAAUGCAGCAAGAGCCUUGUCUGUGCAUGUGUGUGCCUCACUUGUAGUGAUUAUCAAGUAAAGCAAUGGUCUCUUUCUGCAGCUGUAAAAUCCAUGAUGCUACAGUUUUACAGCUUUAUUAGAGAGACAGAGACAGAGGGAGAUAACAUGCUUCAAAAAACAAGCCUUUGUGUUUGUGUCCAUCAUCAUCAUCAUCAUCAUCAUCUCACAGCUGAACAAAUGGAAGACCCAAAAGGUAUCGGAUUUCUCUUGGUUCCAUAGCUAGUAAGUGGUGCUGGCAAGAUUGGAAUGCAGGUUUUGUCUGGUCUUUUAUUCCAAAAUGAACUAAUCACAUAGAAGCAAUAUAAAACUUAAAAUUUCUUCCCAAAACAUGGUGGGCGGCCUUUCAACUGCUUCCCUGGCUCCCGCCACACUCCCAGGAGGGAUAUGCCAGUGUGCUGUUCUGUUCAAAGAUCACCAGUUAAGACCUGGUGGAUUUGAGGUCGGCUCCCCGGGAGGGUUGGCUUUGCACUGCUCUGUGUGCACCCUCCCCCAGCAGCACACACCUGUCAGAUGGUGGCUGACUUGGGGGGGGUGGAAUCUGUGAUGGGAGAAUGGGUGAAGAGGCCCAUAUACAAGGGAAAUGGCCACAGAAAAGGCCCCACUAACACCCUGUUCAAAAGCACCUCUUCUCAACCUGGCAGGCAGGAGGAAGUUGUCCUUCAGAAGAGGAGCUGUGACCCAGAUGGAGGCCUGACAGGAAGGGGAGUGUCCUCAGGCAAGGACUUUGUGGUGUAUCUUGUGCCAUGGACCCCUCUGGGAAGUCUGUGGACCCAUCCAUAGAAGAACACUUCCAAAUACAUAAAAAGAACACACAGGAUUGUAAAGGAAACCAAUUUUGAGUAAAGAAGUUAUUAAAUUCUUUUAAAGUGUGCGAUUUUGUAUUGCAUCUGUGUCUCAGUCUGCUAGGGCGGCCGUAACAAAAUCCCACAGGCUCAAACAACAGACACGAAUUGCUUGAAGUCCUGAAGUCCUGAAGUCCGGGAAGAAGCUGACAGCAGCUUCCAUUGUGGGGGAAGGCCUGCCUCCAGGCUUGCAGAUGGCUGCCUUUGCCAUAUCCUCACAUGGUAGAGAGAGCUCUGGUGUCUCUUCUUCUUUUUAAAAAGAUUUUAUUUAUUUAUUCAUGAGAGACACAGAGAGAGGCAGAGACAUAGGCAGAGGGAGACGCAGGGAGCCUGAUGUGGGACUUGAUCUCAGGACCCCGGAAUCACAACCUGAGCCAAAGGCAGACGCUCAACCUCUGAGCCACCCAGGUGCCCCUGUUCUCAUUUUUAAGGACACCGGUCUUAUCAUGAGGGCUCCACCUUUAUGACUUCAUCUAAAUCUAAUCACCUCCCCAAAGCCCCACCUUCUAAUACCAUCACUUUAGGGGUUAGAACUUCAACAUAGAAAUUUGGAGUGUGUGUGUGGGGGGACACAAACAGUUCAUAACAGUGUUAACUUCUUAUUGAUGCUUUAAACAACA